RNAcentral lists this ribosomal RNA (573 nucleotides) under uncultured bacterium. Its description in RNAcentral is "bacterial LSU rRNA". It matches the Rfam family "Bacterial large subunit ribosomal RNA", at positions 614 to 1180 of the family's 2925-position model. The record is from RNAcentral.
AAUGGGUCUGUGACUUAAUCUGUCAAGCAAGCUUAAGCCGUUAGGUGUAGGCGCAGCGAAAGCGAGUCUGAAUAGGGCGACGUAGUUUGACGGAUUAGACCCGAAACCCGGCGAUCUAGGCAUGACCAGGUUGAAGGUGGGGUAACACCCACUGGAGGACCGAACCGAUUAACGUUGAAAAGUUACCGGAUGAGUUGUGUUUAGGGGUGAAAAGGCCAAUCAAGCCGGGAAAUAGCUGGUUCUCCGCGAAAACUAUUGAGGUAGUGCCUCGAGUGAAUACCGUUGGGGGUAGAGCACUGGAUGGGCUAGGGGGUCGCGAGAUCUACCAAACCUAACCAAACUCCGAAUACCAACGAGUACUGCUCGGGAGACAGACGGCGGGUGCUAAGGUCCGUCGUCAAAAGGGAAACAGCCCUGACCUACAGCUAAGGUCCCCAAGUCGUGUCUAAGUGGGAAAGCAUGUGAAAACUUCCAAAACAACCAGGAGGUUGGCUUAGAAGCAGCCAUCCUUUAAAGAAAGCGUAACAGCUCACUGGUCUAAACAAGAGGUUUUGCGGCGAAGAUGUAACGGGG